Molecule: long non-coding RNA, 480 nt
Organism: Thunnus maccoyii (southern bluefin tuna)
Lineage: Eukaryota; Metazoa; Chordata; Actinopteri; Scombriformes; Scombridae
Exons: 3
Source: RefSeq, a predicted model, not a curated record
CUUUUAUUCCCGUAUAUAAAUAUAUAAUAUAAUAAUAAUAAUAUAAUAUAUAAUAAAGCCAAUAAACUGAAAAGUUUACUGAGCAGACGAUCACAGAGCGGACCGGAGGAACGGCGCCGUCGCAGCCGCGCUGAGGAGGAACAGAAGGGGCGUGGCCUGAAGGAGAAGGGCGGAGCUCUUUAGUCUCACCUCCACAGUGUGUUUGCUGCUAAAAGACAUCAGACUCGUCAGAACGCCGACGAUGAAAAGAAACAACUUUGUGAUGAAUGAUGAAAGUUGACGUAUGAUGUGAUAUUAAUGUUCAUACAAGCUGAAGAUGAAUUUCUGGUGGACAAAUAAAGUUGUUUUGAUUUGAUUUAGUUUCUCAUAUCGUCGCCUCCUCAGAACACAAACAGGCAAAAUGAAACUUCUCUCUCUCGAUGAUGAACCAGAACCAGAAGAGACGUGAAAUAAACUUCAUUUGACUGAAGUGUUUUGUUU